Molecule: ribosomal RNA, 1722 nt
Filed under: Triticum aestivum (bread wheat)
Lineage: Eukaryota; Viridiplantae; Streptophyta; Magnoliopsida; Poales; Poaceae
Description: partial small subunit ribosomal RNA
Source: RNAcentral
AUGGCGCCGACCACGCAGGAAGAUGUGUCGGGAUCUAGUUCGAGGGCAGGACGGCGGCGGCGGCGGCGCACCCCGGUGUCCGACCGGUCUGCGGAGGCCCAACCGGAAGCUGCGCCGACCUCGCAGCGAGCGGCGCCGACCACACAGGAUGAGGUGUCGGGAUCUAGGUCGAGGGCAGGGCACCGGCGGCGCAUCCCGGUAUCCGACCGGUCUGCGGAGGCCCAACCAGAAGCUGCGCCGUCAUCGCAGCGAGGCAAGAGGAAAGCCUCCCCGGAGCGGUCGUCCGCAGCAUCGCAGCGACGCAGGAGGAAAGCACCCUUGGAGCCGUCAGAGGACAAGAGGCAGAAAAGAACCGCCAAGAAGCGGAAGAGAACUGACGAGAAGAAAGCCGCUAGCAGCAAGGGCGAGGAGGCCGCGGCGACGACCUCAGCUUCACCAGGCGCAUCGCAUGCCUCCUCCUCCGAGGCUUCCUCUGCGGCCAGCUCUCCUCUGCGUUGCCCUCUUCCCCCCGCCCCCGCCAUGGGCGCAGGACGUAACUACGACCCUGCGAUGGAGCCUGCCUACGAAGCCUAUAUGGACUUGAGUUCCAAGUACCAUGCGAAAAGAAAGCGCCAACUUCAACUUGUAACACUUGAUCGCUCCAAGGCUUCUUCAUGUAUGGUAAAUGAGAAAUUGCAGAGUGUUCGUGAGUCUGCAACAAAAACAGUUCUUCAAGUAGCUAAAGUUGUUCUUGGCUUUUCGUCCUAUGUCGAUGGUAAACUGAUGGCACGAUCAUCGGGCUUUCUAAUUGAUUGGGAUGAGAGGAGUAAAGCAGGCACAGUUUUGACAUCUGCGCGCAUAAUCUGUUCAAAGUAUUCAGCCCUAAGCCAGUGGUCAGGUACAGAUGAGUAUGCACCUAAUGCUGAGAUUGUUGCUCAUUUAUUGGAUGAAGAUGAUGCUACUGUACCAGCACUAUUGCUUCAUUAUGACAAGCACGUCAACAUUGCUUUGAUUAAGGUUGAGAUAGAAUUAUGUGCUAAGAUUCCUAGCUUCAGUGGUGACGUGAUCUAUGGUCAAGAGAUAUUUGUGCUUGGUAGAGAUGAACAUCAAAAUUUGACUAUUCAUCAUGGACGUGUUCAAUUUAUGGGCCCAAAUAAAUUUCAACGCCAUCAUUAUCUCUUCAGUGGUUGUGUGAUUAAUCAGCCUAGCAUUGGAGGACCUGUUAUUGACUUGAAUGGACAAGUUUGGGGGAUGGCUAAUUUUCCAGGAACGGCAUUUAUUCCUUCCUCUAUUAUAUUGAAGUGCUUGGAUAUGUGGAAGAAAUAUCAGUGUAUCCCUCGGAUGCAUAUUGGGAUGAAGCUUUCACCCAUUAAAUUUCUUGAUCCAAUUCAUGUGGAGAGGAUCUUUCGUAGGUGUAAUGUCGAUUCGGGUCUAAUAGUUCAUGAGGUGUCUCAUGGAUCAGUUGCUGACGAACUAGGAGUUAGACCCGGUGAUAUCAUUGACUCCGUGAAUGGAGAGCACAUUGCUACCACAAUUGAGUUGGAGAACUUACUUAUGAGAAUAUGUGAGAGUCAUCUUGACGAAGGAGGAGUCAUCGGUUCCUGUGUGGACAUACCAGUUGGUAUAUUGCACGUGCGGAAAGGUCGCAAAGAUCCGAGGCACAGGAGCACUUUAAGUCUGAGAUUAAAUGUAGCAGAAGGCGUAGAGGCGUUCACAAGUGGUACUUUAACUGUCGAAGUAUGA